Molecule: transfer RNA, 87 nt
Filed under: bacterium
Lineage: Bacteria
Description: tRNA-Leu
Rfam family: tRNA
About the family: Transfer RNA (tRNA) molecules are approximately 80 nucleotides in length. Their secondary structure includes four short double-helical elements and three loops (D, anti-codon, and T loops). Further hydrogen bonds mediate the characteristic L-shaped molecular structure. tRNAs have two regions of fundamental functional importance: the anti-codon, which is responsible for specific mRNA codon recognition, and the 3' end, to which the tRNAs corresponding amino acid is attached (by aminoacyl-tRNA synthetases). tRNAs cope with the degeneracy of the genetic code in two manners: having more than one tRNA (with a specific anti-codon) for a particular amino acid; and 'wobble' base-pairing, i.e. permitting non-standard base-pairing at the 3rd anti-codon position.
Source: RNAcentral
GCCGCGGUGGCGGAACCGGUAGACGCAAGGGACUUAAAAUCCCUCGAUAGCAAUAUCGUGCGAGUUCGAGUCUCGCCCGCGGCACCA